GACGAACGCUGGCGGCGUGCUUAACACAUGCAAGUCGAACGGAAAGGCCCUGCUUUUGUGGGGUGCUCGAGUGGCGAACGGGUGAGUAACACGUGAGUAACCUGCCCUUGACUUUGGGAUAACUUCAGGAAACUGGGGCUAAUACCGGAUAGGAGCUCCUGCUGCAUGGUGGGGGUUGGAAAGUUUCGGCGGUUGGGGAUGGACUCGCGGCUUAUCAGCUUGUUGGUGGGGUAGUGGCUUACCAAGGCUUUGACGGGUAGCCGGCCUGGGAGGGUGACCGGCACAUUGGGACUGAGAUACGGGCCAGACUCCUACGGGAGGCAGGAGGGGGGAAUAUUGCAAAAUGGGCGGAAGCCUGAUGCAGCAACGCCGCGUGCGGGAUGACGGCCUUCGGGGUGGAAACCGCUUUCGCCGGUGACGAAGCGUGAGUGACGGUAAUGGGUAAAGAAGCACCGGCUAACUACGUG
Molecule: ribosomal RNA, 467 nt
Filed under: uncultured bacterium
Lineage: Bacteria
Description: partial 16S ribosomal RNA
Rfam family: Bacterial small subunit ribosomal RNA
Source: RNAcentral